Molecule: long non-coding RNA, 231 nt
Filed under: Brassica rapa (field mustard)
Lineage: Eukaryota; Viridiplantae; Streptophyta; Magnoliopsida; Brassicales; Brassicaceae
Description: long non-coding RNA (BRAP_LNC006872)
Source: RNAcentral
GGGGAUCCUGAGCGUUCCUAAAACGGGGACACGGAGGUCUGGGUCCUGCCUGGGGUCUGGAGGAAAGUAGUACCUGAGUAUUUUUCCCCAACAGUUUACCCCUUAUUUCUCGAUUUCGUCAUCUAUUUCAAGGAAUAACUUGUGCACUCAAGUCAACUGGGUAGCUCAUUCUCAGCAAUUAUCCCUCGGACAGGAAAGCGUUCCAGGAGCUCAUCUUUUGGGUUCUUUAUA